RNAcentral lists this long non-coding RNA (364 nucleotides) under Lathyrus oleraceus (garden pea). RNAcentral's name for it is "Pisum sativum (pea) long non-coding RNA (PSAT_LNC037384)". Lineage: Eukaryota; Viridiplantae; Streptophyta; Magnoliopsida; Fabales; Fabaceae. The record is from RNAcentral.
UUAAUCCAGGUAUGACUCUAUCGCUCUGGUUUUGCGUACGUUCUACUGACAUAGCACUGCAUUAUGACACACACUGAGGCACAUUUUUGUUGUUUAACCUUGAGCCUUUCCAGCCACCCUUGUACUUUUUAUCCGUUGCGAACCCCUUUGAGCCUUUAACCAUUUUGUUUGUUUAUAAACCGCUUAUGUUACCCUAUGGCCAGAAAAAGAAAAAAAAUAUAUAAUAAUCUCUUUUACCCUUGCUCGGCAUAAAUGUUGUGGAUUUUGGAAACUGUGUUGAAUUCUAAGUUUGGGGUGGUAAAUCUAAUACAAAAGGGACAAGUGUGCGAAAAGUUGUUACAAGAAAAAAGAAAAGAAAAAAAAA